GAUGAACGCUGGCGGCGUGCCUAAUACAUGCAAGUCGAGCGAACGGACGAGAAGCUUGCUUCUCUGAUGUUAGCGGCGGACGGGUGAGUAACACGUGGAUAACCUACCUAUAAGACUGGGAUAACUUCGGGAAACCGGAGCUAAUACCGGAUAAUAUUUUGAACCGCAUGGUUCAAAAGUGAAAGACGGUCUUGCUGUCACUUAUAGAUGGAUCCGCGCUGCAUUAGCUAGUUGGUAAGGUAACGGCUUACCAAGGCAACGAUGCAUAGCCGACCUGAGAGGGUGAUCGGCCACACUGGAACUGAGACACGGUCCAGACUCCUACGGGAGGCAGCAGUAGGGAAUCUUCCGCAAUGGGCGAAAGCCUGACGGAGCAACGCCGCGUGAGUGAUGAAGGUCUUCGGAUCGUAAAACUCUGUUAUUAGGGAAGAACAUAUGUGUAAGUAACUGUGCACAUCUUGCCGGUACCUAAUCAGAAAGCCACGGCUAACUACGUGC
RNAcentral lists this ribosomal RNA (498 nucleotides) under uncultured bacterium. RNAcentral describes it as "partial 16S ribosomal RNA". It matches the Rfam family "Bacterial small subunit ribosomal RNA", at positions 28 to 508 of the family's 1533-position model. The record is from RNAcentral.